GAUGAACGCUGGCAGCGUGCUUAACACAUGCAAGUCGAGGGGAAACGAUAGAGAAAGCUUGCUUUUUCUAGGCGUCGACCGGCGCACGGGUGAGUAACGCGUAUCCAACCUGCCCAUCACUUGGGGAUAACCUUGCGAAAGUAAGACUAAUACCCAAUGAUAUCUCUAGAAGACAUCUGAAAGGGAUUAAAGAUUUAUCGGUGAUGGAUGGGGAUGCGUCUGAUUAGCUUGUUGGCGGGGUAACGGCCCACCAAGGCGACGAUCAGUAGGGGUUCUGAGAGGAAGGUCCCCCACAUUGGAACUGAGACACGGUCCAAACUCCUACGGGAGGCAGCAGUGAGGAAUAUUGGUCAAUGGGCGAGAGCCUGAACCAGCCAAGUAGCGUGCAGGAUGACGGCCCUAUGGGUUGUAAACUGCUUUUAUAAGGGAAUAAAGUGAGUCUCGUGAGACUUUUUGCAUGUACCUUAUGAAUAAGGACCGGCUAAUUCCGUGCCAGCCGCCGCAGUAA
RNAcentral lists this ribosomal RNA (508 nucleotides) under uncultured bacterium. RNAcentral's name for it is "partial 16S ribosomal RNA". It matches the Rfam family "Bacterial small subunit ribosomal RNA", at positions 28 to 523 of the family's 1533-position model. The record is from RNAcentral.